GGAUAACCUACCCUAUGGUGGGAGAUAACCCCGGGAAACUGGGGAUAAUAUCCCAUAGUCUAUGGGACCUGGAAUGGUCCAUAGUUGAAAAGAUUUAUCGCCAUAGGAUGGGUCUGCGGCCGAUUAGGUAAGUUGUUGGGGUAACGGCCCAACAAGCCUUUGAUCGGUACGGGUUGUGGGAGCAAGAACCCGGAGAUGGAUUCUGAGACACGAAUCCAGGCCCUACGGGGCGCAGCAGGCGCGAAAACUUUACAAUGCGGGAAACCGUGAUAAGGGAACUCCGAGUGCCCGUAAACGCGGGCUGUCCAUCUGCUUAAAAAAACAGGUGAAGAAAGGGCCGGGCAAGACCGGUGCCAGCCGCCGCGGUAAUACCGGCGGCUCGAGUGGUGGCCACUAAUUACUGGGCUUAAAAGCGUCCGUAGCUUGGUUGUUAAAGUCUCUUGGGAAAAUCUGUCGGCUUAACCGACAGGCG
This 472-nucleotide ribosomal RNA is filed under the name uncultured bacterium. Its description in RNAcentral is "bacterial SSU rRNA". It matches the Rfam family "Archaeal small subunit ribosomal RNA", at positions 102 to 572 of the family's 1478-position model. The record is from RNAcentral.